UCGUCUAAAAGCUGGACUGCACAGGCCCAGUCAUCGCAAGGUUUACACUCUAAAGCGUGACAAACCCAUUUCAGAUGCAUCUUUGAAACAAAAAUAAAUCUAAAGAAUUAAGACUCCUAUUCUCUGAAGAAAGCAAAACACGUCUUUUCACACAACCAGAUAUCAAAACCUGACACUUGGCCAAGAGCAAAAGGACUGUCUACCAUUUGGAGCAAGUGUAUUCUAUUCUACAUUGGGCACAAGAAUCUUUUAUCCUCAAUUUCAGAAAAAUGACAUUGGCUCUCGGAUAUGAAAUCGUCUCAUAGCUACCUAAAAAAGAUUAAAAUGU
This 328-nucleotide long non-coding RNA is filed under the name Bos taurus (domestic cattle). Its description in RNAcentral is "long non-coding RNA NONBTAT025749". Lineage: Eukaryota; Metazoa; Chordata; Mammalia; Artiodactyla; Bovidae. The record is from RNAcentral.